RNAcentral lists this ribosomal RNA (253 nucleotides) under uncultured bacterium. RNAcentral describes it as "partial 16S ribosomal RNA". It matches the Rfam family "Bacterial small subunit ribosomal RNA", at positions 524 to 776 of the family's 1533-position model. The record is from RNAcentral.
GACGUAGGGCGCGAGCGUUGUCCGGAUUUAUUGGGCGUAAAGAGCUCGUAGGCGGCUUGUUGCGUCUGCUGUGAAAACCCGCAGCUCAACUGUGGGCUUGCAGCUGAUACGGGCAGGCUUGAGUGCGGUAGGGGAGACUGGAAUUCCUGGUGUAGCGGUGAAAUGCGUAGAUAUCAAGAGGAACACCAACGGCGAAGGCAGCUAGCUGGACGAGAUCUGACGCUCAGGCUCGAAAGUAUGGGGAGCAAACAGG